GUAUAGCCUACUCCGCAGGCAACUCUUUGGCAAGAAUUGGCAAAAGUAGUAUGAAUAAAAAAUUGGCAAAAAUGUGAAUAUUAUAGGGUUACACUCUGUGAUCCCUAACAAUCCCUAACUUUAAAUUCGCUGUUAUUCAUAAUAUUUUUGCCAAAGAGUUGCCUGCGGAGGAGGCUAGAU
Molecule: microRNA precursor, 180 nt
Filed under: Paramuricea clavata
Lineage: Eukaryota; Metazoa; Cnidaria; Anthozoa; Malacalcyonacea; Plexauridae
Source: RNAcentral